AGCUCCAAGAGCGUAUAUUAAAGUUGUUGCAGUUAAAAAGCUCGUAGUUGGAUUUCUGGUAUAAUGCGCCUGGCCCGCGACGGUUACGUCUGUGAGUGCCGGUGCGCGUUUGCCAUCCUUCUAGAAAACGUUUCUACCCUUCGCUGGGCCGGACUCGGGAUCUAGAUCUUUUACUUUGAAAAAAUUAGAGUGUUUAAAGCAGGCUUUUGCUAUGAAUACAUUAGCAUGGAAUAAUGAUCUAGGACUUCGGUUCUAUUUUGUUGGUUUCUAGUACUGAAGUAAUGAUUGAUAGGGAUAGUUGGGGGUGCUAGUAUUGGCCGGCCAGAGGUGAAAUUCUUGGAUUCGGUCAAGACUAACUUAUGCGAAAGCAUUCACCAAGGAUGUCUUCUUUAAUCAAGAA
RNAcentral lists this ribosomal RNA (400 nucleotides) under phytoplankton environmental sample. RNAcentral's name for it is "partial small subunit ribosomal RNA". It matches the Rfam family "Eukaryotic small subunit ribosomal RNA", at positions 587 to 983 of the family's 1831-position model. The record is from RNAcentral.